Molecule: ribosomal RNA, 380 nt
Filed under: uncultured eukaryote
Lineage: Eukaryota
Description: partial 18S ribosomal RNA
Rfam family: Eukaryotic small subunit ribosomal RNA
Source: RNAcentral
CAAUAGCGUAUAUUAAAGUUGUUGCGGUUAAAAAGCUCGUAGUUGGAUUUCUGCUGAGAACGACCGGUCCGCCCUUUGGGUGUGUAUCUGGCUCCUUCUUGGCAUCUUCUUGGUGAACGUUGCUGCACUUGACUGUGUGGAGCGCUACCCAGGACUUUUACUUUGAGGAAAUUAGAGUGUUUCAAGCAGGCAUACGCCUUGAAUACAUUAGCAUGGAAUAAUAAGAUAGGACCUCGGUUCUAUUUUGUUGGUUUCUAGAGCUGAGGUAAUGAUUAAUAGGGAUAGUUGGGGGCAUUCGUAUUUAACCGUCAGAGGUGAAAUUCUUGGAUUUGUUAAAGACGGACUACUGCGAAAGCAUUUGCCAAGGAUGUUUUCAUUGA